UACGUAGGUGACAAGCGUUGUCCGGAUUUACUGGGCGUAAAGAGCGCGCAGGCGGUCGAUCAAGUCGAGUGUGAAAGCCCCCGGCUCAACUGGGGAGGGUCAUUCGAUACUGAUCGACUCGAAGGCAGGAGAGGGUAGUGGAAUUCCCGGUGUAGUGGUGAAAUGCGUAGAGAUCCGGAGGAACACCAGAGGCGAAAGCGGCGUCCUGGGGUGAGGUUGACGCUCAGACACGAAAGCAUGGGGAGCGAACGGG
RNAcentral lists this ribosomal RNA (253 nucleotides) under uncultured bacterium. RNAcentral's name for it is "partial 16S ribosomal RNA". It matches the Rfam family "Bacterial small subunit ribosomal RNA", at positions 524 to 776 of the family's 1533-position model. The record is from RNAcentral.